CUAACCGUCCAUCCCAUAAUCACAAAGUGUCGGAAUAAACGGGAUCUACGUGUUUAACUGUUACAGAUGGUUACCAACAGUUUGUCUAUAAAAAGGAGAUAAAGGAAUAGUGAUGGUAAGACAGGCUGGACUAAACUCUGUCAAUUUCUAUAUUAAAAUUACUGUUCACCAUUUUUCGCUGACUUAGAUAUCGUAAGGUUCUCGCUGGACAUAACUCCGAUCAAUGUGGACUUCUUUUGCAGAUUGCUCUUUAUCGGAGUUAGAUGCAAUCGAAGAUUGGCCGCAAC
RNAcentral lists this long non-coding RNA (287 nucleotides) under Elaeis guineensis (African oil palm). RNAcentral's name for it is "long non-coding RNA (EGUI_LNC001892)". The record is from RNAcentral. Lineage: Eukaryota; Viridiplantae; Streptophyta; Magnoliopsida; Arecales; Arecaceae.